GUGCACCAGGCGAGAAACUUUACAAUGUGCGAAAGCACGAUAAGGGAACUCUGAGUGCCUCCUAAGGAGGCUGUUCUGAUGUCUAAAAGCAACAGAAGUAAGGGCUGGGUAAGACCGGUGCCAGCCGCCGCGGUAACACCGGCAGCCCAAGUGGUAGCCACGUUUAUUGGGUCUAAAGCGUUCGUAGCCGGCCAGGUAAGUUCCUUGGUAAAUUUAGCCGCUUAACGGUUAAGCUUUCAGGGAAUACUGCUUGGCUUGGGACUGGGAGAGGUCAGAGGUACUCCGGGGGUAGGGGUGAAAUCUAUUAAUCCCUGGGGGACCACCGGUAGCGAAGGCGUCUGACCAGACCAGGUCCGACGGUGAGGGACGAAGGCUAGGGGCGCGAACCGGAUUAGAUACCCGCGUAG
RNAcentral lists this ribosomal RNA (407 nucleotides) under uncultured microorganism. Its description in RNAcentral is "bacterial SSU rRNA". It matches the Rfam family "Archaeal small subunit ribosomal RNA", at positions 330 to 744 of the family's 1478-position model. The record is from RNAcentral.